Molecule: ribosomal RNA, 68 nt
Filed under: Planctomycetota bacterium
Lineage: Bacteria; Pseudomonadati; Planctomycetota
Description: partial 16S ribosomal RNA
Rfam family: Bacterial small subunit ribosomal RNA
Source: RNAcentral
AUUUAACUGAAGGGUUUGAUCCUGGCUCAGAAUGAACGUUGGCGGCGUGGAUUAGGCAUGCAAGUCGA